UACGAAGGGGGCUAGCGUUGUUCGGAAUUACUGGGCGUAAAGCGCGCGCAGGCGGUCCUGUAUGUGCCGUGUGAAAGCGCCGGACUAAUCCCGGCGAGGUCAUGGUAGACAGCAGGACUGGAGCCUCAGAGAGGUCGAUGGAAUUCCGGGUGGAGCGGUGAAAUGCGCAGAUAUCAGGAGGAACACCGGUGGCGAAGGCGGGUCUCUAGGCCGACACUGACGCUGAGGAGCGAAAGCGUGGGGAGCGAACAGG
RNAcentral lists this ribosomal RNA (253 nucleotides) under uncultured bacterium. RNAcentral's name for it is "partial 16S ribosomal RNA". It matches the Rfam family "Bacterial small subunit ribosomal RNA", at positions 524 to 776 of the family's 1533-position model. The record is from RNAcentral.